RNAcentral lists this ribosomal RNA (433 nucleotides) under uncultured bacterium. RNAcentral's name for it is "partial 16S ribosomal RNA". It matches the Rfam family "Bacterial small subunit ribosomal RNA", at positions 29 to 507 of the family's 1533-position model. The record is from RNAcentral.
AACGAACGCUGGCGGCAUGCCUAAUACAUGCAAGUCGAACGAGAUCUUCGGAUCUAGUGGCGCACGGGUGCGUAACGCGUGGGAAUCUGCCCUUGGGUUCGGAAUAACUUCUGGAAACGGAAGCUAAUACCGGAUGAUGACGUAAGUCCAAAGAUUUACCGCCCAAGGAUGAGCCCGCGUAGGAUUAGCUAGUUGGUGGGGUAAAGGCCCACCAAGGCGACGAUCCUUAGCUGGUCUGAGAGGAUGAUCAGCCACACUGGGACUGAGACACGGCCCAGACUCCUACGGGAGACAGCAGUAGGGAAUAUUGGACAAUGGGCGAAAGCCUGAUCCAGCAAUGCCGCGUGAGUGAUGAAGGCCUUAGGGUUGUAAAGCUCUUUUACCCGGGAUGAUAAUGACAGUACCGGGAGAAUAAGCUCCGGCUAACUCCGUG